This 439-nucleotide ribosomal RNA is filed under the name uncultured bacterium. RNAcentral's name for it is "partial 16S ribosomal RNA". It matches the Rfam family "Bacterial small subunit ribosomal RNA", at positions 338 to 795 of the family's 1533-position model. The record is from RNAcentral.
CCUACGGGAGGCAGCAGUAGGGAAUAUUGCUCAAUGGGGGAAACCCUGAAGCAGCAACGCCGCGUGGAGGAUGAAGGUUUUCGGAUUUUAAACUCCUUUUGUUAAAGAAGAUAAUGACGGUAUCUAACGAAUAAGCACCGGCUAACUCCGUGCCAGCAGCCGCGGUAAUACGGAGGGUGCAAGCGUUACUCGGAAUCACUGGGCGUAAAGAGCGCGUAGGCGGGAUAGCAAGUCAGAUGUGAAAUCCUAUGGCUUAACCAUAGAACUGCAUUUGAAACUGUUAUUCUAGAGUAUGGGAGAGGUAGGUGGAAUUGUUGGUGUAGGGGUAAAAUCCGUAGAGAUCAAGAGGAAUACUCAUUGCGAAGGCGACCUGCUAGAACAUAACUGACGCUGAUGCGCGAAAGCGUGGGGAGCAAACAGGAUUAGAUACCUAGUAGUC